This 1553-nucleotide ribosomal RNA is filed under the name Vibrio sp. S-C1-13. RNAcentral describes it as "bacterial SSU rRNA". It matches the Rfam family "Bacterial small subunit ribosomal RNA". Lineage: Bacteria; Pseudomonadati; Pseudomonadota; Gammaproteobacteria; Vibrionales; Vibrionaceae. The record is from RNAcentral.
UUCAGAUUGAAACGCUGGCGGCCAGGCCCUAACCACAUGGCAGGUCGAGCGGAAACGAGGUUAUCUGAACCUUCCGGCAGAACGAUAACGCGUCGAGCGGCCGGACGGGGUGAGUAAUGCCCUAGGAAAUUGCCCUGAUGUGGGGGGAUAACCCAUUGGAACGGAUGGGCUAAUGGCGGCCAUGAAGCUUACGGGUCCCUAAGAGAGGGAGGGACCCUUCGGGACCUCUCGCGUUCGAGGAAUAAUGCCUAGGGUGGGAUUACCUAGUUGGUGAAGGUUAAGAGCCUCAUCAAAGGCGACGAUCCCUAGCUGGUGUGAGGAGGGAUGGAUCCAGCCACCACUUGAAACUGAGACACGGUCCAGACUCCUACCGGGGAGGGCAGCCAGUGGGGGAAUAUUGGCACAAUGGGGCGCCAGCCUGAUGGCAGCCAUGCCGCGUGUGUGAAGAAGGCCUUCGGGUUGUAAAGCACUUUCAGUGGUGAGGAAGGGUAGUGUAGUAAUAGCUGCAUUAUUUGACGUUAGCGACAGAAGAAGCACCGGCUAACUCCGUGCCAGCAGCCGCGGGUAAUACGGAGGGUGCGAGCGUUAAUCGGAAUUACUGGGCGUAAAGCGCAUGCAGGUGGUUUGUUAAGUCAGAUGUGAAAGCCCGGGGCUCAACCUCGGAAUUGCAUUUGAAACUGGCAGACUAGAGUACUGUAGAGGGGGGUAGAAUUUCAGGUGUAGCGGUGAAAUGCGUAGAGAUCUGAAGGAAUACCGGUGGCGAAGGCGCCCCCCUGGACAGAUACUGACACUCAGAUGCGAAAGCGUGGGGAGCAAACAGGAUUAAAUACCCUGGUAGUCCACGCCGUAAACGAUGUCUACUUGGAGGUUGUGGCCUUGAGCCGUGGCUUUCGGAGCUAACGCGUUAAGUAGACCGCCUGGGGAGUACGGUCGCAAGAUUAAAACUCAAAUGAAUUGACGGGGGCCCGCACAAGCGGUGGAGCAUGUGGUUUAAUUCGAUGCAACGCCCACACCCUUACCUACUCUUGACAUCCAGAGAACUUUCCAGAGAUGGAUUGGUGCGCUCGGGAACUCUGAGACAGGUGCUGCAUGGCUGUCGUCCGCUCGUGUUGUGAAAUGUUGGGUUAAGUCCCGCAACGAGCGCCACCCUUAUCCUUGUUUGCCAGCGAGUAAUGUCGGGAACCCCAGGGAGACUGCCGGUGAUAAACCGGAGGAAGGUGGGGACGACGUCCAGUCAUCAUGGCCCUUACGAGUAGGGCUACACACGUGCUACAAUGGCGCAUACAGAGGGCAGCCAACUUGCGAAAGUGAGCGAAUCCCAAAAAGUGCGUCGUAGUCCGGAUUGGAGUCUGCAACUCGACUCCAUGAAGUCGGAAUCGCUAGUAAUCGUGGAUCAGAAUGCCACGGUGAAUACGUUUCCCGGGCCUGUACACAGCCGCCCGUCACACAUGGGAGUGGGCUGCAAAAAGAGUAGGUAGUUUAACGGCUUCGGGGGGGAGCGCUACCACUUUGUGGUUCAUGACUGGGGGUGAAGUCGUAAGAAGGGUAACUGA